UCCCGUUUAGCUCAGUUGGUAGAGCGCGUCACUAGUAUUCGCAUCAUUACGCUAUGACGAGGUCAGUCGUUCGAGUCGGCUAAUGGGAA
This is a non-coding RNA of Dichomitus squalens LYAD-421 SS1, 89 nucleotides long. The record is from the annotation of a RefSeq genome assembly. NCBI's taxonomy places the organism in Eukaryota, Fungi, Basidiomycota, Agaricomycetes, Polyporales, Polyporaceae.